Molecule: ribosomal RNA, 748 nt
Filed under: Alexandrium margalefii
Lineage: Eukaryota; Dinophyceae; Gonyaulacales; Pyrocystaceae
Description: partial Bacterial large subunit ribosomal RNA
Rfam family: Bacterial large subunit ribosomal RNA
Source: RNAcentral
UAAGGAGGUUCAGUUGCUUAGACAGCCAGGAUGUUGGCUUGGAAGCAGCCAUUCAUUUAAAGAGUGCGUAACAGCUCACUGGUCGAGCGGUUCCGCAUGGAUAAUAAUCGGGCAUAAGUACACCACCGAAGCUAUGGCUUUACACCAUCGGGUGUAAGGGGUAGGGGAGCAUUGUAGUGCCAUUGAAGGUGUUCUGUAAGGGAUGCUGGAGGAGCUACAAACGAAAAUGUAGGCAUAAGUAACGAUAAUGCGGGCGAGAAACCCGCACGCCGAAAGACCAAGGUUUCCCCGGCCAUGCUAAUCAGCCGGGGGUCAGUCGGGACCUAACACGAACCCGAAGGGGGUAGUGGAUGGACAACGGGUUAAUAAUCCCGUACCCGCAAUACGACAAAAGUGACGGGGGAGUGGCGUUGGUGCGUACAGACGGAAUUGUACGUUGAAUCAUCUGUAAGGAUGAGAUAGUACGGCAAGGCUACGGCUGCGCCGAUAAUCCAGCAUAGCUUCCUCCAAGAAAAGCGAGUAUUGCGGCCCGUACCGUAAACCGACACAGGUGGUCGGGAUGAGUAUUCUAAGGCGCUCGAGAGAUUCAUGGCUAAGGAACUAGGCAAAAUAGACCUGUAACUUCGGGAGAAAGGUCGCCCUGUAGUAUAACGCUACAGGGCCGCAGUGAAGAGGUCCAGGCGACUGUUUAUCAAAAACACAGGGCUCUGCAAAAUCGAGAGAUGACGUAUAGGGCCUGACACCUGCC